Molecule: ribosomal RNA, 463 nt
Filed under: Vreelandella stevensii
Lineage: Bacteria; Pseudomonadati; Pseudomonadota; Gammaproteobacteria; Oceanospirillales; Halomonadaceae
Description: partial 16S ribosomal RNA
Rfam family: Bacterial small subunit ribosomal RNA
Source: RNAcentral
CACGGGUGGCAGCAGUGGGGAAUAUUGGACAAUGGGCGAAAGCCUGAUCCAGCCAUGCCGCGUGUGUGAAGAAGGCCUUCGGGUUGUAAAGCACUUUCAGUGGGGAAGAAAGCCUUGGGGCUAAUACCCUCGAGGAAGGACAUCACCCACAGAAGAAGCACCGGCUAACUCCGUGCCAGCAGCCGCGGUAAUACGGAGGGUGCGAGCGUUAAUCGGAAUUACUGGGCGUAAAGCGCGCGUAGGCGGUCUGAUAAGCCGGUUGUGAAAGCCCCGGGCUCAACCUGGGAACGGCAUCCGGAACUGUCAGGCUAGAGUGCAGGAGAGGAAGGUAGAAUUCCCGGUGUAGCGGUGAAAUGCGUAGAGAUCGGGAGGAAUACCAGUGGCGAAGGCGGCCUUCUGGACUGACACUGACGCUGAGGUGCGAAAGCGUGGGUAGCAAACAGGAUUAGAUACCCUGGUAGUC